Molecule: long non-coding RNA, 264 nt
Filed under: Homo sapiens (human)
Lineage: Eukaryota; Metazoa; Chordata; Mammalia; Primates; Hominidae
Description: non-protein coding lnc-CDS2-10:1
Source: RNAcentral
GCUGGGUGUAGUGGCGGGCACCUGUAAUCCCAGCUACCUGGGAGACUGAGGCAGGAGAAUUGCUUGAACCCAGGAGGCGGAGCUUGCAGUGAGCCGAGAUCACACUGCUGCACUCCAGCUCGGGCGACAGAGUGAGACUCCGUCUCAAAAAAAAAAAAUGUUUUUUAGAGACGGAGUCUCUGUCGCCCAGGCUGGAGUGCAGUGGUGUGUGAUCAUGGCUCACUGCAGCCUGGUUGAACUCCUGGGCUCAAGCGAUCCUCCCAC